RNAcentral lists this ribosomal RNA (253 nucleotides) under uncultured bacterium. RNAcentral's name for it is "partial 16S ribosomal RNA". It matches the Rfam family "Bacterial small subunit ribosomal RNA", at positions 524 to 776 of the family's 1533-position model. The record is from RNAcentral.
UACAUGGGGUGCAAACGUUGCUCGGAAUUAUUGGGCGUAAAGCGCACGUAGGCGGUUCGUUAAGUCGGAUGUGAAAGCCCUGGGCUCAACCCAGGAAGUGCGCAGGAUACUGUCAUGCUGGAGUAGCGGAGAGGAUGGCGGAAUUCCCGGUGUAGAGGUGAAAUUCGUAGAUAUCGGGAGGAACACCUGUGGCGAAGGCGGCCAUCUGGACGUUCACUGACGCUGAGACGCGAAAGCGUGGGGAGCAAACAGG